CCUACGGGAGGCAGCAGUGAGGAAUAUUGGUCAAUGGACGAGAGUCUGAACCAGCCAAGUAGCGUGAAGGAUGACUGCCCUAUGGGUUGUAAACUUCUUUUAUAAAGGAAUAAAACGAGGCACGUGUGCCUUUUUGCAUGUACUUUAUGACUAAGGAUCGGCUAACUCCGUGCCAGCAGCCGCGGUAAUACGGAGGAUCCGAGCGUUAUCCGGAUUUAUUGGGUUUAAAGGGAGCGUAGAUGGGUUGUUAAGUCAGUUGUGAAAGUUUGCGGCUCAACCGUAAAAUUGCAAUUGGUACUGGCAGUCUUGAGUACAGUUGAGGUAAGCGGAAUUCGUGGUGUAGCGGUGAAAUGCUUAGAUAUCACGAAGAACCCCGAUUGCGAAGGCAGCUUACUAAACUGUGACUGACAUUGAUGCUCGAAAGUGUGGGUAGCAAACAGGAUUAGAUACCCGUGUAGUC
RNAcentral lists this ribosomal RNA (460 nucleotides) under uncultured bacterium. RNAcentral's name for it is "partial 16S ribosomal RNA". It matches the Rfam family "Bacterial small subunit ribosomal RNA", at positions 338 to 795 of the family's 1533-position model. The record is from RNAcentral.